CAACCUUCACCCUUGUCUGAAACAAUAGUGUAAAUUCACAUCAAAGAAAGAUAAUUUGUAAUCAUUAAAAUCUUUGUCAUUUGUUCUAUAAAUAUUUGUUUCAUUGUCAAUCAUACAAUAACUCUUCAUAAUGCUUUUGAAUUUGAAAAUGUAUCAAUAGAAAUAAAGAAAUCUAAAGUAUCUUAGAUUUACAUUUGACAUGUAAUUUCCAAAUAACCUAUUAUUGUAUCUGAA
RNAcentral lists this long non-coding RNA (234 nucleotides) under Mytilus galloprovincialis (Mediterranean mussel). Lineage: Eukaryota; Metazoa; Mollusca; Bivalvia; Mytilida; Mytilidae. The record is from RNAcentral.